Molecule: ribosomal RNA, 436 nt
Rfam family: Bacterial small subunit ribosomal RNA
ACGGGAGGCAGCGGUCGGGAAUAUUGCGCAAUGGAGGAAACUCUGACGCAGCGACGUCGCGUGCAGGAAGAAGGUUUUCGGAUUGUAAACUGCUUUCGACAGGGAAGAAGAAGUGACAGCACCUGUAGAAUAAGCUCCGGCUAACUACGUGCCAGCAGCCGCGGUAAUACGCAGGGAGCGAGCGUUAUCCGGAUUUAUUGGGUGUAAAGGGUGCGUAGACGGGAAAUUAAGUUAGUUGUGAAAUCCCACGGCUCAACUGUGGAACUGCAAUUAAAACUGGUUUUCUUGAGUGCUGGAGAGGAAAGUGGAAUUCCUAGUGUAGCGGUGAAAUGCGUAGAUAUUAGGAGGAACACCAGUGGCGAAGGCGACUUUCUGGACAGAAACUGACGUUGAGGCACGAAAGUGUGGGGAGCAAACAGGAUUAGAUACCCUGGUA